ACCUCGGGGGUUUCCUGCUUUAUGGCGAAGGGUGAAUGAGGAUCUGCCGGAGGGAGGGAGACAACAAGGAGAGAGGGGUGUGAGAUGAUGGGGUGGGCACAUGCACAAACCCAGCCAUGAGAUGUGGGGUUGGGGGAGAGCGGGCGGGGCGCUGGGGCAGGCGGCUCCUCUCUGAGUCUGGGGGUGAUGGGAGGGGCUGCGCGUGUUCCUCGGGGGGAGUGGGGGCUGGGGAGACAGAAGCUCUGCCUCCGUGCUGUGCCUCUGAGGUGCGGAAGGACUGUGUGUGCCCCCCUCCCCUCCCCCACUGCAGUGGGGGAGCGCGGAGGAGGCGGUGGGCCACCGGGAGGCCGGACCCUCUGUACCCACCCGGAGGCCCAGCCGGCACAGCCCACCUCUCCUCAGCAGGCCCAGGGCCCUAGCCACCUCCGCCUCAGGGCCGUCCACGCUCUGCCUUCCAGCCCCUCUGCGCAGCUGGGCCCACGUGGCCCAAGACAUUCCAGGCAUCGUACCUGCCACCACCGGGAGCUCUCUGUGGAAACAGAGCUACUGUGCCAUGUCACCCGCGUGAGGCAACUGUCACCAAGGUGGGUCUGCAGAUUCUGAGGCGCCUGCAUCAAGGAAAGGCCACGUGAGGACACAACAUGAAGGCCCCGCCUACAAGCCAGGAAGGGCACCCUCACCAGACUUGACCAUGCUGGUACUCUGAUCUCAGACUCUGCCUCCAGGACAGUGAGGAAUAAAUGUCUGUGGUUU
Mustela erminea (ermine) is the source of this 753-nucleotide long non-coding RNA. RefSeq lists it as uncharacterized. The record is from RefSeq and is a predicted model, not a curated record. NCBI's taxonomy places the organism in Eukaryota, Metazoa, Chordata, Mammalia, Carnivora, Mustelidae. The transcript is spliced from 3 exons.